CAGGGGAGGAAGCUGCAGCAGCCAGAGGAGGAAUCAAGAAGUUCCUUGCCUCCCAGCAGAUCGGCUGCCUCUUUUCUCCCCUGGCUGGUUGAACACUGUUGCUGUAACUCUCUAGGAUUGAGUUAUUUGAUUCGGUUGAAAGUAGGAAGAGACGAAUGUGCUGGAAGUGUUGUGAGGAGGAGAUGGCAAGACCUGGAGGGGGAAGAAAUUGCAAGACCUUCAAUUAAGAGAGCAUCAUCAUGGAAGAACAUAUACUGUUUUAGAUAACUGAAACAUGAUCAAUAUCUGGAAUCAAUUUUAUGUAUGAUCUUCCGUUUCCAUUCUAAUUUUUCUGUUGAGUGUUAUGGAGAGGUAUAUCUUGUUUGAUUUUACUGUUUCUAUGCUGUAACAUGCCUAAGUAAUAUUGAAUAGAAAACCUCUUU
Molecule: long non-coding RNA, 422 nt
Organism: Hemicordylus capensis (graceful crag lizard)
Lineage: Eukaryota; Metazoa; Chordata; Lepidosauria; Squamata; Cordylidae
Exons: 3
Source: RefSeq, a predicted model, not a curated record